AUCAAUUGAUUCAACAUUUUCGAGUAUGGAGUUAUUUACUAGAGAGAUUAUUCUUUCCAUUGCUGUCAUUGUUGUUUCUUCUUCGGGGAUUUGUAGAGCAGUGGAUUGUGGUGGCCCGCAAAUUUCAAGCACAAUCGUAGUUGGUAGCAGCUCAUCAAAUUUCACAUCAAUUCAAGAUGCCAUUGAUUCAAUACCGACAAAAAACUCCAAAUGGGUAAAAGUUCAGAUAAAUGCUGGCACAUAUAAAGAGAGGGUUACCAUCCCAGUGGAUAAGCCAUGCAUCUAUAUCCAGGGCCAAGGGGCAGAUGUUACCACCAUUACGAACGAUGACCACUCGGCAAGAAAUACUAGUGCCACAUUCACUUCCAUUUCAAACAAUGUUGUUGCAUCAGAUAUUACUUUUCAGAACUCGUACGGUUUGGAAAUGUUAGAAAAUAAGCUAAUACAUAAUAUCAGUUUUGGAAUAAGGAUUCCAUCGUUGGCUGC
This 486-nucleotide small RNA is filed under the name Vigna angularis var. angularis. RNAcentral describes it as "Non-protein coding transcript". Lineage: Eukaryota; Viridiplantae; Streptophyta; Magnoliopsida; Fabales; Fabaceae. The record is from RNAcentral.